Molecule: long non-coding RNA, 4662 nt
Filed under: Sus scrofa (pig)
Lineage: Eukaryota; Metazoa; Chordata; Mammalia; Artiodactyla; Suidae
Description: lncRNA (ENSSSCG00050044267.1)
Source: RNAcentral
GGGGGAGUGAAGCACUCCUUCUCAGGCAGCCUGGGGGGGCUGCUCCUCACUGGACCUCCCAGGGAUCUGUGAGCAUAGUCUGUCCCUUAUCUUGUUUUUCUCUCAGUUUCAGCAGUGGUCACUAGCCAGUCCUGUGUCCGGUGUCCAGUGAUGUCCCAGUGGCAUUCGAAUGGCCCCCAUAUCUCCCACCAGCACCCACCUCUAUUCCCUUGUACAGUGGAAACGUGUGCAGCUCCUGUUUACCAUGUACCGUAAAAGGUCAGGUAGUGUGACUGGCCUUCUCCCCACUGCCCUCCCUACUGACCCCCUGCUCAGUUAAUCCUGUGGCUUACAUCCUCACCCUGAAGCCUGAUGUGAUAGGCUCUGAAGUCCAGCCAUAGGUCCUUCCUAACCUUGGUACAGGCCUAGGAGUUAACCUCCAGGGCAGGGAGUGGGAGAAUUAUCCAUCCUCGGCAUUUGUGACCCUUUCUAUUUUGAAGCACUUGCACAGAUCUGUCACAUGGACAUCUACUUUCGGGGCCAGCUGCUGGUUGGAGGUGGUGUGACUGGGCCUGGAAAUGGUAGGUCAGGGGAGGAGCCGUGUAACCAGACCAGUGCCAGCUUUGCAUUGGCACCAUGUGCAGAUGGCUUGGAGGUUUGCAGGGAACGCGGGAAGUACCCAUUGUUCCCAGCCCCUCUACUGCCCUGAGAAUCAUGAUCAUAAAGGGGACAUUAUGUUCGUUCACAUUUGUGGAAUGUGCCUCUUAGGUGUUGGUCACUGUGCUUUCAAGUUUCCCCAUUUUUCUAUGACAUAGCAUUACUAUUGCCUCCAUUUUACAGAUAAAGCUGAGGCUUAGGGGAUGUCAUAACUUGCAUAGGAGCUCACUGCUACUAAAUGGUGGGCUGGGCUUUAAAUCCAGGUGAUUUGACUCUAGGUUUUAACCGCCGUGAGACGUUGCCCUGUCCAGUUCUUAGAGGCUGAUAUCCAGGCAGUAUCAUUGAUGCUCUUGUUGCCUCUGAGGUCACAGGAAGUGCUAACGGCUCCGGGAGGUGGGUCUCCCCUUUGCCUGCCUUGUUGUACCUUGAGGACUACUGUGUGUGGCCACACUGGUGCCAGCAAAGACCUCCGAGUCUUGCCUGAGCUGUGAGCUUCCCUAAGUGACAGAGCCUCUUGGCACUAUCCCUUUAUCUGGCCAGCAGGGGGCGCACUGCGGGGCGGGGCGGGGCGGGGCGGUGGGGGAACUGGUUCCUCAGGCUGUCAUCCUUUCUUCCUAGAACCUGAAGCUUUGUCCUCUCACCUGUGUACCUUCAGAAGCUCCUCCACCCCAGCCCUCCCACAGCACCUGACUGACAUCGCUAGAGAUCACUUCAGCUUUGAGACCAAGUCAGACUUGAACUUUGCAUAGGAGCUGUCCUCUCCCUAGUUUCCCUCAUGCUGGGCAGUUUCUGUCCAUCACAGCACCUCUCAGAUGCUCCAGUCAAACCCUCUCAUGGAAAUUUCCACUUGGAGUUUGCAAUUGCUUAGUCUUCUUUCUCCUCCCACUUCCAACCUGAUCACUUUUCCUGAUUUUCUUUGUGAAUCGUUCUUUCCCUUCUUAUUUUCAUCUGGACUCUUUCAUUGUUCUUUGAUGGCUUUUCUCACCCAAACUCUUCUAUAAGUCCUCAUAGUGUCCACUGCCCUUCCGGCAUUACCUGGACACGUCUCCUGUUGGUCUUUCUUGGCCUUUCCCUUAUUCUUUUUCUGCCUUUUCCUUAUUCCACUGACUGUCUCACUCCACUGUUCUAAUGCCUUUAUCUACCUAAAGAAGCAUUAGGUGGGUUUGUUUUCUGCCCAGUCUGCCUCUACCAUCCACAGUUUUGCAGGGGUCUUAAAAUUUCAUUCUCUGGGGGAAGAGGUCACAUAGAUGGGGAGGACAGGGGAUGAACCACUAAAUUAAAAAACAAAAAAAACAAAGAGUCCUUAAUGCUUAAGUAGUAUUUACUGUGAACCAGACACUAUUCUUAGCCCUUUCCAUGUGUUAUUUAAUCAUCAUAGCAGCCUAUGAGUUGAGGAAUAGUAUUAUCUUUGUCUUACAGGUGAGGAAAUGGGGGCACAGAGAGGCCAAGUAAUGUGCCCAAGGUCACACAGAGGGUGGGUGGUUGAGUCAGAAUUCAAACCUUAGCAGAAUAAUGUGAGAGGCAGGCUCACCAUCAUGCUCAGCUGCCUCUGAAGAGUUGACGGUUAACAAGCAAAAGAGAGGAAGUGGCACCUACCAGACAGAUGUGCACGAUCGUGGGAACUCACACUCUGCCCCCUUUCACUGUCACACUCCCUCCCGCUUUCUUUUGCAGUCUGUUCUCCUUUUAAGAGAAGCUACUAUUUCCGUGUACAGGGAGAGCAGACAUCAAGUCACCUCUCAAGGUCUGUCUUUCUGGGAGACUCUCCCUGUUCGUCGCCGUCUUUUCCGUUUACCGUCAGCAGUCAGACUCCAGAGAGAAGGAAUUUCACCUUUUUUUGGCAGAGCACCUGAUCUGUGUUUGUGGUCUCAGGAUGGGCAGAGUGGUGGAGCUGCACAUUUUAUAAGCAGUGCAGAUGAGGCCAUCCCCCUGCGCUUUACUCAGAGAACUGCACACCCCACAGCGCAGCAGGCGAGGCUUAUUACACCAGGAUUGAAACAGCCUUCUCUGCUUUCCUUGUGGCAUCUUCUACCAAAAGGCAGUGGCCAGAGGAAGCUCUUCCUAAAGAAGCAGAUGCAAUGUCCAGCCUUGAGCUGUCCUCUCAGAACUGGGUGCCUGAACUUCCUACCACCCUUAACUGGCCCCUGCCCACCCUCACUCUGACCUCUUUUCAAACAUCUGGGUUUCACUUCCUCCCUCCCUCCCUUCCUUCCCUCCUUCCUUUCUUUCUUAGUGUACUCAAGUAUGGUGAUUAAGGAGUUAGAAUAUAAUACCUAGGGUAAAGUAAUUAGUACGAAUAAUUGCCCUGGAGAGGAAAUGAUAUAAUGAUACAAAUCGGUCCCCUCCCCCUUCUCUGUCUGUCUGUCUAUCUUCUCACUAAGGGUUAGGCAAAAUGGAAUGAGAUGAAAUUGUAGAAGAGGAGGCUUCUGGGAGCCAGUUCAAAAGGCAUAUGCAUAGAAUAGAGAGGAGUUAUUUAUCCUGCAAGGAAUUAUUUAGAUCAAUUCCUUUUUUUCUUCUUGUUAAAUUUUUAUUUAUUUAUUUUCGGCCACACCCGCAGCAUGCGGAAGUUCCCGGGCCUGAGAUUGAACCCAGACACCACAGUAACAAUGCCAAAUCCUCAACCACUAGGCCACCAGGGAACUCUCAGUUUUUCUUUUUCCCUUCAUUGUCAUUCUCCUUUCUGUAUUUCUUCCUGGGACUAUCUUUGGACUUUAGGAUAUGUUCCUUCUCUUCGCUGUCAUUAAAGCGAGCCCUAUCCCCCACAUCCUGCCCUGCCCCAUCUCCGAGACUGUCUGUUCUACAGCUCGUAGCACUCGUCCUGCUGCUUUGAGUUCCCGACAUAUGACUCACUUUGUAAAAUAUACAUGGAUGCUUCUAGCAGAGUAGGUCCUAAAUGCUGUCGGCUGUGUUCACCAGCCAGAGCCUUGUGACAGCUGGAUGCCUUUAAGAACUGAGUAGUAGGUGUGUUCGGUCAUUUGGGAGACUGGGUGGAGUCCCAUUAACAUGGGCCUGAUUUCUAAGUGAUUUUAAUGAAACAGAACAUCCUCAUUCGUGGGUACUAGCCUUCUGCUCCCCAUCUGUUUGUACAUUUGACUGUCAGACGGGAACAGAGAGGACUGCAGGCCACAACGAUAGCCAGAAGGCACAUUCCAGGCCUCUGCGCAGAGAUGUCAUGUGUGGGUCUGGCACAGCCCCACACCUUUGUUAUGUUCAUGGGGGUAUGGAAGGAUAGCUCCACUGCGGUACCCACAAAGUUUCCUACCCACUUUAGGUUGAUUGCAUCUAUGACGGUAGUCUAGGGCUUAUAGGAACCAGGCGAUGAGUUAAUGAAAAACAAUCCAUUGGCCUAAAUGAUUUUCUGUUACUCUCAUCCUCAUCCUUUCUUAUAUAGGUUUAUGGAACCCGGCGGCCCUUGGCUAAUGGAGUUAAGAUGGGUAACGGAGGGAGAAGUGAUGUAUUUGGAGGUUGUGGUGGUUGGAAAUUAAUGGACCUCCAGGAACCAGGAUACAAUCUUUUUUCCCCCCUUAAUUUUAACCUUGAUAGUGGACCAACUUCGUCAGGUAUCUCGGUCUGCUUUUCUUCUUCAAUGAAGCGGUCAUGAGUGGAUCUUUGAUGAUUCUUUCUAAAAGCACUUUCCAUCAGACAUAGGAGAUUUGCUAAAUGUAUACAGUGGCCUCGAGAUAGGCCCAAGAUUUUUUUUUCUUAAUUUUAAUAAUGUAUUUUCUAACUUAUCUUAAAUAAAGGGCCCAAAGGGAAAUUGCAGAUUAUUUGAGGUUUUAUAUUCUCUGAAUCUAUAGUAAUGGGGGAGUUCCCGUCAUGGCUCAGCGGUUAAUGACCCCAACCAGCAUCCAUGAGGACUCGGGUUCCAUCCCUGGCCCUGCUCAGUGGGUUAAGGAUCCAGUGUUGCCGUGAGCUGUGGUGUAGGUCACAGAUGCAGCUCGUAUCCUGCGUUGCUGUGGCUCUGGCCUAGGCUGGCAGCUACAGCUCUGAUUAGACCCCUAACCUGAGAACCUCUAUAUACCGUGG